RNAcentral lists this ribosomal RNA (426 nucleotides) under uncultured bacterium. RNAcentral describes it as "bacterial SSU rRNA". It matches the Rfam family "Bacterial small subunit ribosomal RNA", at positions 355 to 796 of the family's 1533-position model. The record is from RNAcentral.
UGGGGAAUAUUGCGCAAUGGACGAAAGUCUGACGCAGCGACGCCGCGUGUGGGAUGACGGCCUUCGGGUUGUAAACCACUGUCGCGAGGGACGAAGCUCUGACGGUACCUCGAAAGGAAGCACCGGCUAACUCUGUGCCAGCAGCCGCGGUAAUACAGAGGGUGCAAGCGUUGUCCGGAAUUACUGGGCGUAAAGGGCGCGUAGGCGGCCUGAUAAGUAGGGGGUGAAAUCUCGUGGCUCAACCACGAAACUGCCUUCUAAACUGUCAGGCUUGAGCACGGUAGAGGCAGAUGGAAUUCCCGGUGUAGCGGUGGAAUGCGUAGAGAUCGGGAAGAACACCAGUGGCGAAGGCGGUCUGCUGGGCCGUUGCUGACGCUGAUGCGCGACAGCGUGGGGAGCAAACAGGAUUAGAUACCCCCGUAGUCC